UACGGGGGGAGCAAGGCGUUGUUCGAAUUUACUGGGCGUAAAGGGCGCAGGUAGGCGGCGUGACAAGUCACUUGUGAAAUCUCCGGGCUUAACUCGGAACGGUCAAGUGAUACUGUCGUGCUAGAGUACAGAAGGGGCAACUGGAAUUCUCGGUGGUAGCGGUGAAAUGCGUAGAUAUCGAAGAGGAACACCAGUGGCGAAGG
Molecule: ribosomal RNA, 203 nt
Filed under: uncultured bacterium
Lineage: Bacteria
Description: partial 16S ribosomal RNA
Rfam family: Bacterial small subunit ribosomal RNA
Source: RNAcentral